GGAAACAACAAAAACGACAACGAAAAAUGUCAAAAUAUUGAGUAAUCACUCUCGCGGCUCGAAGAGGAGCGUGGACCCGAAACCUAAACCCGAAACACAAAAUCCGAAACGAAACGAAACGUGAACGAAUGUUGGCGCAACAGAUUGGCUAACAAAAAAAUGGGUCUUAGGAGGGAGUUCGAGUAGACCACAGGCAAUUGGCCGGGCAAUUGGAAGUACUCCAAGUGAGGCACAGAUUCUCAGAUGAGGUCAUGGAUCCCAUCGAUGGCAGUUCCUUUUACAAUGCCCUGAAG
This is a long non-coding RNA of Drosophila obscura, 293 nucleotides long. RefSeq lists it as uncharacterized. NCBI's taxonomy places the organism in Eukaryota, Metazoa, Arthropoda, Insecta, Diptera, Drosophilidae. The transcript has 3 exons. The record is from RefSeq and is a predicted model, not a curated record.